Molecule: transfer RNA, 73 nt
Filed under: Candidatus Woesearchaeota archaeon
Lineage: Archaea; Nanobdellati; Candidatus Woesearchaeota
Description: tRNA-Cys
Source: RNAcentral
GCGCACGUUGCCAAGUGGCUAAGGCGAUCGCCUGCAGAGCGAUUAUUCGGGGGUUCGAGUAAUUUCGAGCUUG